Molecule: non-coding RNA, 2432 nt
Organism: Rattus norvegicus (Norway rat)
Lineage: Eukaryota; Metazoa; Chordata; Mammalia; Rodentia; Muridae
Source: RefSeq, a predicted model, not a curated record
GCCCCGUCCCGCCCCGUCCCGGACCCAGCCGGACUUUCUGGACCGCUGCGGAAGGGAGGACCCCUAGCCUUCUGCCCAGGGCGACGUGGGGCUUCCAGCCGGCCUAGACACUGCUAGGUGUACCGGAAGUUCAAGAGCCUAGUAAAGUUUUUGCUAAAGGGAAGGCAGUCAUGGAGAUGCUGGGAUCUGAACCUGGUGGUGUUUCAGCCGUAGACACAUCAGAAUGUAGCAGUGAAACAGGAUCCUGCCUUCAAGCCCAUCUAGCUCUCCCAGGUCUCCCCAGAAAUGAGCAGACCCAGCAAUACAUCCACAUUUGAAAUUGCAGUCUGUGCUACUCUAGCAGGCAUACAGGGAGGACAUGGGGAAACAUGAAGAUUCUGCUAAACAAAGCUCCUGGAAUAUCCUAGGUUGAGGCUAAGGAUGCUGCCCACAAAAGCACAAUGCUCAGGGUGCCCUUCAAUGUCCAGAUUCAAAUGCCAGGAGAGCCCACAUUGAAAAUACAGUUUGAAGCAAUGUUAGGAAAGAUUAAACACUCUUAGCCACAUCCUGUCCCUGGGAACUUUCUGUAAUGUGUUUUAAGACAGUCUUAUUUUAUCCUGCAUCUGGUCACAUUAUCUAACACCUUUAACACGUGCACUUGCUGUGCUCUGCAGUAGAGACAGCCUUCCUCCUUUGGUCCUGGUGUUUUUCACAGAGAGGGGGAGGGACAGGCUGCCGCUCCUAGUUUAAAACAUGCCUUUCUGUGCUUUUUCUUUCAGCCUUAAGUGUUCUUUGUUUUGUUUUGGUUUUUGCCUAAUAGCUUCCAAAGCUUUGUGGCUCCAUUUAAGGCACCCAUCUCUGAAGUCCUCUUUAUUCCAAUUGAGCUUAGCUGCAAUUAGCACAGAGAAUCUGGGACUGAGAAAGGGGUGUGAUAUGUGGCCAUAUGUUACGGGGAGAAGGCAGCUGUGUGAGAACUAGCUCACUGUAAAGAGACUGAUGUUUCCUUAGCUACCACCCUGUACAUGAGCACUGUUUAUGUGAUAGCCUGUGUUUGAGGGCUGUACAGCUGCACUGCCAUCCAUGCAGAUGUUUCUGUAACUACCACCCCUGUACAUGAGCACUGUUUCUAUGAUAGUCUGUGUUUGAGGGCUAUAUAGCCUCACUGCCGUCCAUGCAGAUGUUUCCAUAACUACCACCCCUGUACAUGAGCACUGUUUCUAUGAUAGCUUGUGUUUGAGGGCUAUAUAGCCUCACUGCCAUCUGUGCAGAUGUUUCCCUGAAACUCUAACUCAUAGACUUUGAAAUGAAUUUUACCUCCAUGAUUUGAUAGAAAGUGGAUCAUAGCUUGUCAUGAGUAAAGCUAAGUAAAUUUAACUUUAUACUCUGCAAAUGUUUUCAUUUGAUUUGGAAACUUGUAAAAGUAUGCUUGAUAUUCUUUCAAAUAUUAUGUUUAAAUAUGGUAUGCAUUUGGUUAACAUUUUGAAAAAUAUUUCUUUAAACAAUUGUACUUAAACAUUAUUCCAUGGCAGAAUUUGGGCUUCAAAAGAUUAAAUUUAUUUUCUCAGAUGGAACAUUAAUAUAUCCAUGCUUCUAAACAUUGAUUUGCAAAGAGAUGAUUGUGCCAUAGAAGAUUAUAGUUUGAUUUUCUUCUCAAAGUAUUACUUGCUAUUCUCUCUCUCCCUCUCUCUCUGUGUGUGAGACUAUAUGUGUGUGUAUGUCUGUGUGUGUCUCUUUGUAUGAGUGUAUAAGAGUGUGUAUUUACAUAUGUGUGAGUGUCUGUGUUAUUUUUAAACAGAGAAUUGCUGUGCUUUAAAGUUGACACACUCACUACUUUUUCCCAAAUGAAUCAAUCAUAAGUUCUAAAAAAGAAAAAACAGUUCAAUGCAUGUUACAUGAAGGAGAAGGAGGGUGGUUAGUGGGGAAGAAAGGCGGCCAGUGGGUGUUGUGGUGAGGGUGGGGACAAGGGAAAAGAGUUCAUAAGAGAAUCAGCAAAAACACAGUAUGGAUGAAAUGUCACUAAUGCUAAGCUUAGUCCAAAAAACUAACAGCAAAUAUAAAAGAGCUCUAUGCAGAGGCCUGGGUGCCAAGGAGUGUUAUCUGUUUUAUCAGCAGCAUAAUGAUCUUAAUUAGCAUGUGUGUCAGCUUCCUGUUGCUGUGGAAAAUCCAUGAAAAACAAAGGAAAGUUUCAUUUUGGUUCAAAUUUCAGAAGUUUAGUUGCUUAGAUGCUUGGAUGGAGGGGAGAAGGAGAUCAUGGUAUAGAAAUGUGUGAAGAAAACAUCAUCCUGAGUGGGGUAACCCAAUCACCCAAAAACACACGUGGUAUGCACUCACUGAUAAGUGGAUAUUAGCCCAAAAGCUUGGAUUACCCAAGAUACAAUCCACAGACCACAUGAAGCUCAAGAAGGACAACCACAGUGUGGAUGCUGCAGUCGUUCUUAGAAGGGGGAACAAAA